Molecule: ribosomal RNA, 491 nt
Filed under: uncultured microorganism
Description: bacterial SSU rRNA
Rfam family: Bacterial small subunit ribosomal RNA
Source: RNAcentral
GAGUUUGAUCAUGGCUCAGGAUGAACGCUGACGGCGCGCCUAACACAUGCAAGUCGAACGGCACCCCUCUCCGGAGGGAAGCGAGUGGCGAACGGCUGAGUAACACGUGGAGAACCUGCCCCUCCCCCGGGAUAGCCGCCCGAAAGGACGGGUAAUACCGGAUACCCCGGGGUGCCGCAUGGCGCCCCGGCUAAAGCCCCGACGGGAGGGGAUGGCUCCGCGGCCCAUCAGGUAGACGGCGGGGUGACGGCCCACCGUGCCGACAACGGGUAGCCGGGUUGAGAGACCGACCGGCCAGAUUGGGACUGAGACACGGCCCAGACUCCUACGGGAGGCAGCAGUGGGGAAUCUUGCGCAAUGGGGGGAACCCUGACGCAGCGACGCCGCGUGCGGGACGGAGGCCUUCGGGUCGUAAACCGCUUUCAGCAGGGAAGAGUCAAGACUGUACCUGCAGAAGAAGCCCCGGCUAACUACGUGCCAGCCGCCGCGGU